This 827-nucleotide long non-coding RNA is filed under the name Homo sapiens (human). RNAcentral describes it as "HSALNT0293034". The record is from RNAcentral. Lineage: Eukaryota; Metazoa; Chordata; Mammalia; Primates; Hominidae.
CUCCUUUUCAAUUGUUUGGAAUAGUUUCAGAAGAAAUGAAUUUGAUGAUGAUGUAUCUUGGGGAUGCCCUCUCUCACCACUCCUUUCAACAUAGUGGAAGUUCUGGCCAGCACAAUCAGGCUGGACAACAUGAAAAUGUCUGAUAAUACCAAGUAUUGCCAGAGUGUGGACCAAGAAAAACUCUUACAAAUACUAAUAAAACUGUAAACCAUGUGAAAAACAAUUUAAUAUUGACUGUAUCAUACCCUGAAACAGAAAUCCACUCCUAGGUGAUACAUUAACUAGAAAAAUUUUUAUGCACAUUCAUAAAGAGAUAUAAACAAACAUGUUCCCAACAGUAUUACUUAUAAUAGUAAAAACUGUCAUCAGAAUGUGAAUGUGGUGAGUUUAUACAAUUAACUAUUAUGCAGCAUCAAAAAUCAGUCAACCAGAGUGACACAUAUGAAUAUGAAUCAUUAUUAUUUACAUAAUGUUGAUAUUUUAAAAAUCAAAAGCAAUUUGCAAAAGAAUGCAUACUGUAUUAUAUCAUUUAUAUAAGGGUUACCUAUGCUAAGCGAUACAAAAAUAUUGUUAGUACUCAAAGUGCACAAAAUGUAUGAAUGUAUAAAUGUACAAAUAAAUACAAAAUUUAGAAAUGAGGUUAUCUUUUGUGUGUGGGGGAAUGGGGUGGACAGAGAGAGGAAUGGGAGAGGAGGCUUCAGUCAUAUCCAUAAUGCUUUCUUAAUGGGCAUAAUGGGUAUAUCAGUGGUCACUGUAUUUUUUCAUCUUAGGCAAAUUAAUGUUUACAAAAUAAUUAUUCAAAUGAAUUAAAAUCCACAAUAAAGAAG